This 443-nucleotide ribosomal RNA is filed under the name uncultured bacterium. RNAcentral's name for it is "bacterial SSU rRNA". It matches the Rfam family "Bacterial small subunit ribosomal RNA", at positions 43 to 487 of the family's 1533-position model. The record is from RNAcentral.
CAGGCCUAACACAUGCAAGUCGAGCGGAGCGAGGGUGCUUGCACCUUAGCUUAGCGGCGGACGGGUGAGUAAUGCUUAGGAAUCUGCCUAUUAGUGGGGGACAACGUUUCGAAAGGAACGCUAAUACCGCAUACGUCCUACGGGAGAAAGCAGGGGAUCUUCGGACCUUGCGCUAAUAGAUGAGCCUAAGUCGGAUUAGCUAGUUGGUGGGGUAAAGGCCUACCAAGGCGACGAUCUGUAGCGGGUCUGAGAGGAUGAUCCGCCACACUGGGACUGAGACACGGCCCAGACUCCUACGGGAGGCAGCAGUGGGGAAUAUUGGACAAUGGGGGGAACCCUGAUCCAGCCAUGCCGCGUGUGUGAAGAAGGCCUUUUGGUUGUAAAGCACUUAAGCGAGGAGGAGGUUACCUAGUUAAUACCUGGGAUAAGGGACGUACUGCAGA